CCUACGGUGGGCAGCAGUGGGGGAUAUUGCACAAUGGGGGGAACCCUGAUGCAGCGACGCCGCGUGGGUGAAGGAGUGCUUCGGCAUGUAAAGCCCUAUCGGCAGGGAAGAAGCAAGACGGUACCUGACUAAGAAGCCCCGGCUAACUACGUGCCAGCAGCCGCGGUAAUACGUAGGGGGCGAGCGUUAUCCGGAUUUACUGGGUGUAAAGGGAGCGUAGACGGAAUAGCAAGUCUGAUGUGAAAACCCGGGGCUCAACUCCGGGAGUGCAUUGGAAACUGUUGAUCUAGAGUGUCGGAGAGGCAAGCGGAAUUCCUAGUGUAGCGGUGAAAUGCGUAGAUAUUAGGAGGAACACCAGUGGCGAAGGCGGCUUGCUGGACGAUGACUGACGUUGAGGCUCGAAAGCGUGGGGAGCAAACAGGAUUAGAUACCCCUGUAGUC
This 441-nucleotide ribosomal RNA is filed under the name uncultured bacterium. RNAcentral describes it as "partial 16S ribosomal RNA". It matches the Rfam family "Bacterial small subunit ribosomal RNA", at positions 338 to 795 of the family's 1533-position model. The record is from RNAcentral.